UUCGAUCGCCUUUCAGGCGUUUCCUCCCUAAACUCGGGCCGCGGCUGUAUAGCUAGCGGCCUUUUCUCUUUUACGC
RNAcentral lists this small RNA (76 nucleotides) under Azospirillum oryzae. RNAcentral's name for it is "suhB". It matches the Rfam family "Makes More Granules Regulator RNA (mmgR)". From Rfam's summary of the family: SuhB later renamed mmgR (makes more granules regulator) was a putative non-coding RNA found multiple times in the Agrobacterium tumefaciens genome and related alpha-proteobacteria. Other non-coding RNAs uncovered in the same analysis include: speF, ybhL, metA, and serC. Lineage: Bacteria; Pseudomonadati; Pseudomonadota; Alphaproteobacteria; Rhodospirillales; Azospirillaceae. The record is from RNAcentral.